CCUCCCCCCUCCCCACUCUCCUCCUGUUCUCCCUCGUCCUACAAGUUAGUGAAACAGUCAUUAUUCUUGACUUGUCUUUGCCCGAUGCUGCAAGGGCUGGCUCAGAUAUAAAGCUUAAUUGCCAAUACGAUCUACAGG
This is a long non-coding RNA of Eurytemora carolleeae, 138 nucleotides long. RefSeq lists it as uncharacterized. The record is from RefSeq and is a predicted model, not a curated record. The transcript has 3 exons. NCBI's taxonomy places the organism in Eukaryota, Metazoa, Arthropoda, Copepoda, Calanoida, Temoridae.